CCCUUAGAUGUCCGGGGCUGCACGCGCGCUACACUGUAGAAAGCAGCGUGCUUUAAAACCUUUCCUGAAAAGGAUGGGUAACCCCAGCAAAAUUCUACGUGCUUGGGAUAGAGAUUUGCAAUUUUCUCUCUUGAACGAGGAAUUCCCAGUAAGUGCGAGUCAUCAGCUCGCGUUGAUUACGUCCCUGCCCUUUGUACACACCGCCCGUCGCUACUACCGAUUGAAUGGUUUAGUGAGGCCUUCGGAUCCGCGACUCGUUUGUGGAGAAGUUGGACAAACUCAGUCAUUUAGAGGAAGUAAAAGUCGUAACA
RNAcentral lists this ribosomal RNA (311 nucleotides) under uncultured eukaryote. RNAcentral describes it as "partial 18S ribosomal RNA". It matches the Rfam family "Eukaryotic small subunit ribosomal RNA", at positions 1470 to 1796 of the family's 1831-position model. The record is from RNAcentral.